Molecule: long non-coding RNA, 1059 nt
Filed under: Bos indicus x Bos taurus (hybrid cattle)
Lineage: Eukaryota; Metazoa; Chordata; Mammalia; Artiodactyla; Bovidae
Description: lncRNA (ENSBIXG00000015081.1)
Source: RNAcentral
CUACAAUCAUAAAUUCAUAUUUUCUGAAAUGUAACUUCAUCUUUCCCAAGAAUGUUUAUUUUUAUUCAAGGGAAAACAAUUUUGCCACUUUUAGGUAAUCCUGAUUCAAAAUAGUUGCUUUCAGGAUACUUGGUUCAGGUAUAGAAAACACUUCCCCCUCCCCAGGUGAUUUUCCCUUAUUUAGGGGCUUUCAACAGAAACUAAGCCCCAUGUACCACCCCCGUGCAGGGAUCUUGGUUAUAUUUCCAUACAAACAAGCCAAUCCUCUUAGAUCCUAUGGAUGAAGUUGGUUUGCUGAGUCUUGACUAUAUCUUUCAUCCCGUCCCUGGAAUAUCUCACUCCCCAGUGUAGGGCUGCCAGAUUUGGUAAAUAAAAAGUAUAAAAUGCCCUCGUAGUUACAAGGUGGCAGCCUGGAGCUUGGCGCUGUUACUAAAGUUGUCUUUAGCCAAGUGGAAGGGUCUCCUACUCACACUGAGGCCCCUGGGGGAAAUGGUGUUUUAGACGCUAGGCUUAAGAAUCAUAAAAUUUGGGGCAUAAGACAAGCCCCAGAAAUUAACUGGGAGCAGCCAAAUGCUCUUCCAGGAGACCAGCAGCUACCUUAGACCCGAGCUCCUCUAGGGUGACCUUGGAUCUGCCAAAAGAAUCACAGAAAAGGAAUAAGCAGAUAGGAACUGGGAUCAAGAUUACAAACCAGAAGAUGUGGGCACAUUCUCUGUGGUCAGUGAGGAAGUCUUGAGGAAUAGAGUCAUUAAGAAAAAGCAAAAUGUAGAAAUGUUAAAAUUCAAUCUGACAAUGGAAGGGCUUUUUAAAGGCUUUAAAGAUUUGGUUGGACUUUCUGGAGGAGCCAAGAGUUUUUUGGAUUUGGUAAUGGCACUGAGAUUCAACCUUCACAAGGACUAUCAAAUGGUAAGAGUGAUAACUGGUACCUCUUCUCUCAUUAGUCCAAAGGCUGGGACAUGGACCAAGACAGCAUUUGAUUCUACUACUGCAAAUGCAAAACUGAAACUUCAUCUGAAAAGAAGGUGAAAUCUGUGCCUGAAGAGAAAACGGACCCAUUAC